RNAcentral lists this unclassified non-coding RNA (104 nucleotides) under uncultured fungus. Its description in RNAcentral is "sequence contains ITS1". The record is from RNAcentral. Lineage: Eukaryota; Fungi.
AAUCGUACCCUGCGUGGUUUCAGCCGUGAAAUCGGGUGCGGUGUCGUUGAUACGAGGAAUCUUGCCAGUGAUCUCGCCUGCAAUUGCGGUACUCAUAUUUUUCU